UACAGAGGGUGCGAGCGUUAAUCGGAUUUACUGGGCGUAAAGGGCGCGUAGGUGGUUAAUUAAGUGAGAUGUGAAAGCCCCGGGCUUAACCUGGGAAGUGCAUCUUAAACUGAUUGACUGGAGUACGAGAGAGGGUGGUGGAAUUUCCGGUGUAGCGGUGAAAUGCGUAGAGAUCGGAAAGAACGUCAAUGGCGAAGGCAGCCACCUGGCUCGAUACUGACACUGAGGCGCGAAAGCGUGGGGAGCGAACAGG
Molecule: ribosomal RNA, 253 nt
Filed under: uncultured bacterium
Lineage: Bacteria
Description: partial 16S ribosomal RNA
Rfam family: Bacterial small subunit ribosomal RNA
Source: RNAcentral